UUCCGGCCCCGCCCCGCCCGCGACCUCCGCAAUUGCUCCUGCUUUGGAAUCUACCUCUUCCCAAGAAUCGAGGGUUGUUUGGAACGGACUUUAAAAAUUAUCUAGUAAAUAUCGUCUUCACUCAGACAGUGUAAAAAUAGACCUAUUGCCUCAAAAAAGGGCGAUGUUGGAAAGAUGGCUGUAGCUAGAAUGCUGACAGCAGAGAAAUUUCAGAGUUUUGUCUCAGCCUUUUGACACGGAGUACAAACACUCCAUUCCUGUAUAUCUGACAGCUUCCUGGAACAAUUGUGCAGAUUUCCUGUGUAAUGGUAGAGGGCAGACUACAUAAUCAGAACACCACCUUUAACUUCAAAAACAAUAAAUGUAUCACCUGGUCCCAGAGACUGAGCCCACAGAAUGCCUCAAGAAAACUAAUACACUAGCUCUUUGAGCUACAUGGAGUUUCAUGGCUACCUCGGGCUGAUUUAAGACCAUGCUGCUGCCAAAAGAGCAACUGCCCCUGCCUCACUUCCCAGCUCUGCAUGCUAACAUUGAGAGGGCAUUUACCAGCAGCAUGCCUUCUUGUUAGCACUGAUUUAAGCCAUCCCGUGAAAUUGCCACCUCAUUCACUUCCCUGAGAAGAAUUUCAAAGAUUGCCUUUAGAGCAAAAUUCUGUAGGAAGCAUUCAAAAAAUUGGCAAGAGUGCUCAUGACUCUUAAGACAAAAAUACUGUGACUGCUUAUUGGGGAACUUCUGUGGUAUUCCUCAAGGUGAAUUAAAAAAUAUUUCUGUGCUUAAAUAAAAAAGAAAAAUAAAAUGAACAAUGCAUUGG
Cyanistes caeruleus (blue tit) is the source of this 811-nucleotide non-coding RNA. The record is from RefSeq and is a predicted model, not a curated record. Lineage: Eukaryota; Metazoa; Chordata; Aves; Passeriformes; Paridae.